Molecule: ribosomal RNA, 1812 nt
Filed under: Gonionida abrolhos
Lineage: Eukaryota; Metazoa; Arthropoda; Malacostraca; Decapoda; Munididae
Description: SSU rRNA
Rfam family: Eukaryotic small subunit ribosomal RNA
Source: RNAcentral
AGAUUAAGCCAUGCAUGUGUCAGUACAAACUAAAUUAGAGUGAAACCGCGAAUGGCUCAUUAAAUCAGCUAUGAUUCAUUGGAUCUGUACACCCAGUUUUCCUUGGAUAACUGUGGUAAUUCUAGAGCUAAUACAUGCACAUAUAGUCCCUAACCUCCUCUCUUGUCUAAGAUGAGAGAGAGAGGGAAGGGCGCUUUUAUUAGUAUCAAAACCGGUCGGACUACGGUCUGUUAACCUAUUUGAUGACUCUGGAUAACUUUGGGCUGAGCGCACGGUCUUUUGCACCGGCGCCGCUUCUUUCAAGUGUCUGCCUUAUCAGCUUUCGAUUGUAUGUUAUGUGCCUACAAUGGCUAUAACGGGUAACGGGGAAUCAGGGUUCGAUUCCGGAGAGGGAGCCUGAGAAACGGCUACCACAUCUAAGGAAGGCAGCAGGCACGCAAAUUACCCACUCCCGGCAUGGGGAGGUAGUGACGAAAAAUAACGAUGCGAGACUCAUCCGAGGCUUCGCAAUCGGAAUGAGUACACUUUAAAUCCUUUAACGAGGAUCAAUUGGAGGGCAAGUCUGGUGCCAGCAGCCGCGGUAAUUCCAGCUCCAAUGGCGUAUAUUAAAGCUGUUGCGGUUAAAAAGCUCGUAGUUGGAUUUCAGUAUUGGACUGAUGAGUUUUUUCACCUUCUGGUGAUUAAACGGAAUCAAGCUUCAAAACCUGCUACCACAAUAAUUACAUUGUGUGUUGCUCAACUAGCUCACACGGGGUGCUCUUAAUCGAGUGUCCCGAGUGGCUGGUAUGUUUACUUUGAAAAAAUUAGAGUGCUCAGAGCAGGCUACAAAUGGCCUGAAUGUCUAUGCAUGGAAUAAUAUAAGAUGACCUCGGUUUUAUGUUUUACCGCGUUUCUUUUGGAAACCCGAGGUAAUGAUUAAUAGAACCAGGUCAGGGCUAUUAGUACUGCGACGCUAGAGUGAAGAGUUUCAUUAAUCAAGAACGAAAGUUAGAGGUUCGAAGGCGAUCAGAUACCGCCCUAGUUCUAACCAUAAACGAUGCUAACCAGCGAUCCGCCGUAGUUAUUCCCAUGACUCGGCGGGCAGCUUCUGGGAAACCAAAGUCUUUGAGUUCCGGGGGAAGUAUGGUUGCAAAUCUGAAACUUAAAGGAAUUGACGGAAGGGCACCACCAGGAGUGGAGCCUGCGGCUUAAUUUGACUCAACACGGGAAACCUCACCAGGCCCAGACACUGGAAGGAUUGACAGAUUGAGAGCUCUUUCUCGAUUCAGUGGGUGGUGGUGCAUGGCCGUUCUUAGUUGGUGGAGCGAUUUGUCUGGUUAAUUCCGAUAACGAACGAGACUCUGGCCUAUUAACUAGUCGACGGAUUUCCAAACCAUGCAAUUGGUGUCCAGUUCGCAACAUUAUCUUCUUAGAGGGAUAAGCGGUAGUCCUAGCCGCACGAGAAUGAGCAAUAACAGGUCUGUGAUGCCCUUAGAUGUUCUGGGCCGCACGCGCGCUACACUGAAGGGAUCAGAAUGUUUUCCCCCUCCGAAAGGAGCGGGUAACCCGAUGAAACCCCUUCGUGAUAGGGAUUGGGGCUUGUAAUUAUUUCCCAUGAACGAGGAAUUCCCAGUAAGCGCAGAUCAAGAGUUUGCGUUGAUUACGUCCCUGCCCUUUGUACACACCGCCCGUCGCUACUACCGAUUGAAUGAUUUAGUGAGGCCUUCGGACUGUCGCUCUUGGAUAUCUUGGCUUAAUGCUAGUUCCUAGAGCUGACGGAAAGAUGUCCAAACUUGAUCAUUUAGAGGAAGUAAAAGUCGUAACAAGGUUUCC